UUAUAUGGAGAGUUUGAUCCUGGCUCAGGAUGAACGCUGGCGGCGUGCCUAAUACAUGCAAGUCGAGCGAACAGAUAAGGAGCUUGCUCCUUUGACGUUAGCGGCGGACGGGUGAGUAACACGUGGGUAACCUACCUAUAAGACUGGAAUAACUCCGGGAAACCGGGGCUAAUGCCGGAUAACAUGUUGAACCGCAUGGUUCUACAGUGAAAGGCGGCUUUGCUGUCACUUAUAGAUGGACCCGCGCCGUAUUAGCUAGUUGGUGAGGUAACGGCUCACCAAGGCAACGAUACGUAGCCGACCUGAGAGGGUGAUCGGCCACACUGGAACUGAGACACGGUCCAGACUCCUACGGGAGGCAGCAGUAGGGAAUCUUCCGCAAUGGGCGAAAGCCUGACGGAGCAACGCCGCGUGAGUGAUGAAGGUCUUCGGAUCGUAAAACUCUGUUAUUAGGGAAGAACAAAUGCGUAAGUAACUGUGCGCGUCUUGACGGUACCUAAUCAGAAAGCCACGGCUAACUACGUGCCAGCAGCCGCGGUAAUACGUAGGUGGCAAGCGUUAUCCGGAAUUAUUGGGCGUAAAGCGCGCGUAGGCGGUUUUUUAAGUCUGAUGUGAAAGCCCACGGCUCAACCGUGGAGGGUCAUUGGAAACUGAAAAACUUGAGUGCAGAAGAGGAAAGUGGAAUUCCAUGUGUAGCGGUGAAAUGCGCAGAGAUAUGGAGGAACACCAGUGGCGAAGGCGACUUUCUGGUCUGUAACUGACGCUGAUGUGCGAAAGCGUGGGGAUCAA
RNAcentral lists this ribosomal RNA (789 nucleotides) under Staphylococcus auricularis. RNAcentral's name for it is "bacterial SSU rRNA". It matches the Rfam family "Bacterial small subunit ribosomal RNA", at positions 1 to 771 of the family's 1533-position model. The record is from RNAcentral. Lineage: Bacteria; Bacillati; Bacillota; Bacilli; Caryophanales; Staphylococcaceae.